GUCAGAGAUGGAGGCUGGGGAGGUUCUUGACUCAGAAGGAAUGAUGACAUUCCCAUGAGGUAUCCCAGGGCCAGUCCUCAUUGGGAAGUCUGCUUAUUCCUGGAUCUGUGCGAGGCCAAAGAAGCAUCUUUGACAAUGACUGUGGGAGAGAAGACCUCUCCUUUGGGAGAAAAGACUCUCCUCCUGACAGUAAGGGAUAUCUGGAAGGUUUCUCUGUAAGUUAGACUAUUAAAGGC
RNAcentral lists this long non-coding RNA (236 nucleotides) under Chinchilla lanigera (long-tailed chinchilla). Its description in RNAcentral is "lncRNA (ENSCLAG00000025773.1)". The record is from RNAcentral. Lineage: Eukaryota; Metazoa; Chordata; Mammalia; Rodentia; Chinchillidae.